This is a long non-coding RNA of Glycine soja, 1776 nucleotides long. RefSeq lists it as uncharacterized. The record is from RefSeq and is a predicted model, not a curated record. The transcript is spliced from 2 exons. Lineage: Eukaryota; Viridiplantae; Streptophyta; Magnoliopsida; Fabales; Fabaceae.
UAAACACGGUAGAUGUUGAUAUUAAAUAAAAACUAAAACAUAAUAUUAAUUUACUAACAAGAUUUGAGAUAGUUUAUAGAUAAUUAAAUUUUCUAAACAUGCUGAUAUGAGUUCCAGUUUAAUGUAUAAGAAAUUCUUAGGAAUUAAGCAACAACAGUCAAGAUACUCUUAAUUCGAAAACUGCGAAUCUUUGUAGACCAAUACUCUUACCCUUGCAGGUUCUAAACUGAUUGAAGAGUUAAAUUAUAUUGAGUUUAUAACCUUCACAAGUGAGAAUGCUGACAUGCAGAUGUCACAAGUUUGGGGAUCCGGUCAAAAUAAAAAAAAUUGAUAAAAUUUCAAGAACAAAGGCAGCGUUACUUCUCAACCAAUGCUGGAAACUACCGUCAAGAGCCCUAAACCUCUGUCUUCCACCGACGAUGAGUCCUUCUUACCGAAUGAACUGAUCUUGGAGAUCUUUCUUAGGGUUCUGGUGAGAUCCCUGCUGCAAAUCACGGAAAACCCUAAUUUCCGAUCCCCAAUUCGCCAAGGACCACCUACACCUACGUGCCUCAAUCGCCGAUCCAAACAUGACCCACCUACUAUUGGUCUCUCCCAAAUAUAGUGACCCCUCCAAAAUCUUAUCUUUCUCGGUGCAAUCGCUGUUCCAAAACCCGUCAACCCCUGCUGAAGGCCGUUGCUUCAGGUUGAGACGCAGUUGCCAAAUUCUAGGUUCUUGCAAUGGCUUACUGUGUUUGUUUAAUGUUCAUACACGUUAUGUCAAAUUGUGGAACCCUUUCACCAGAUUGACGUCAUUCCAAAGAUUGUCAAUCUGGUUAUACUCGUGAUGCGUAUUUUACUUACCAUGGUUUUUGCUACGAUCACGUGCAUGACAAGUACUAGUUGCUAUUAGUUGUGACAGAUUUGUUUGAAACUGUGGCCAAAGUAUAUACCUUUGGUGAAGAAGAAUAUUCAGGGAAAAGGCUUCAGAAUUUCCCAUGUCGACCCACUGUGAGACUGGGGAAAUUUGUUAGUGGCACACUUAAUUGGAUAGCUGAGGGGGCUGUAAGUGAUGAUCGAUGCGUGAUUCUUUCCCCUGAUGUUGGGACGGAACAUAUGGCCAAUUCUCGCUGUCUAAUUCGGAUGGUGACAAUCAUGUGAUAGAUGUCUUGCGUGACUGUCUUUGUGUUUGUUUCUAUGAGCUUAAGCAAGGUAUUUGGGCUGUGUGGAUGAUGAAGGAGUAUGUGUUCAAGAUUCUUGGACUAAAUUGAUGGCGACCCCUAACAUUGUUAUGCCCACUUCGAACCCGAUCACGCCCGCUCGUGAUCAACAGGAGAUUUGUAGAUGGCACUUCUCACUUGUCCUCUUGUACCUUUCAGAAGAUGGUGUCGUUUUGGUCAAAACUAUGGUUUCCAAAUUAUUUCUGUAUAACUCGAACGAUGAAGGGUUUGAUUUUCCUAGGAUCGGGGAAGAAUUUGGGUUCAAUUAUCUGCAUCUUUAUCAUGAAAGUUUGGUUUCACCAAGAUGUUAAAAUCACAUUUGUAGACUCUUUUCUGUUGUGCUUGUAGGAGAUCUGAUUUAAACAAGUCUACCUUUUGCUUCAGAAAUUUUGUGUUUAAUUUGUAGGUUGUCCCUGAUGUGAGUUCCUUCGGUGAAGCCUCAUCCAGUCAUCCUACCAUAUUUCAUAAUAUUAUUAUAGAGAAAUAGGUUGAUAAUUAUAUAUCAGUGAUGGAUACAUUGGAAGUCUCUACUUCAUAAAGAAUUCAUGUGAUAUGUUAUUCCUUUUCUAUUCUUUCA